GUUUGGCGUCAUUCCCGAUGCAAUCCAUGGCAAGAGUGGCAACUGCAUGAGCUCCUUUCUUUGGGUAUUGAGCCUCCAGCCUGGGGUCCAUGAUCCUGAAUAUUUUGUGCUUGUCGCCUAAGUAGGGUCUUGCCCAGUCUACCAGGUUUUCUUCUAUGCCGAUUUUCGACUUAUCGAGGGCACGACGUCCAGAUAAUAGCUCCA
Molecule: unclassified non-coding RNA, 204 nt
Filed under: Hevea brasiliensis (rubber tree)
Lineage: Eukaryota; Viridiplantae; Streptophyta; Magnoliopsida; Malpighiales; Euphorbiaceae
Source: RNAcentral